This 532-nucleotide ribosomal RNA is filed under the name uncultured bacterium. RNAcentral describes it as "bacterial SSU rRNA". It matches the Rfam family "Bacterial small subunit ribosomal RNA", at positions 8 to 526 of the family's 1533-position model. The record is from RNAcentral.
AGAGUUUGAUCAUGGCUCAGGACGAACGCUGGCGGCGCGCUUAAUACAUGCAAGUCGAGCGAGAACCAUGGCUUCGGCCAUGGGGACAGCGGCGAACGGGUGAGUAACACGUGGGUAAUCAACCCCCGACACCGGGAUAGCCCGGGGAAACCCGGAUUAAUACCGGAUGUUCCGUCUGGCUCUCGAGCCGGCCGGAAAAGGGUAGCUUCGGCCUCCGGUCGGGGACGAGCCCGCGGCGGAUUAGCUUGUUGGUGGGGUAAAGGCCCACCAAGGCGACGAUCCGUAGCUGGUCUGAGAGGACGAUCAGCCACACUGGGACUGAGACACGGUCCAGACACCUACGGGUGGCAGCAGUCGAGAAUUUUUCACAAUGGGCGCAAGCCUGAUGGAGCGACGCCGCGUGGGGGAUGAAUGGCUUCGGCCCGUAAACCCCUGUCAUUUGCGAUCAAACGUUAUUAUUUAAAAGAUGAUGACCUGAUAGUAGCGAAAGAGGAAGGGACGGCUAACUCUGUGCCAGCAGCCGCGGUAAUAC